UACAGAGGGGGCAAGCGUUGUUCGGAAUUACUGGGCGUAAAGGGCGCGUAGGCGGCCUUCUAAGUCGAACGUGAAAUCCCCGGGCUCAACCCGGGAACUGCGUCCGAUACUGGAAGGCUUGAAUCCGGGAGAGGGAUGUGGAAUUCCAGGUGUAGCGGUGAAAUGCGUAGAUAUCUGGAGGAACACCGGUGGCGAAGGCGACAUCCUGGACCGGUAUUGACGCUGAGGCGCGAAAGCCAGGGGAGCAACGGG
RNAcentral lists this ribosomal RNA (252 nucleotides) under uncultured bacterium. Its description in RNAcentral is "partial 16S ribosomal RNA". It matches the Rfam family "Bacterial small subunit ribosomal RNA", at positions 524 to 775 of the family's 1533-position model. The record is from RNAcentral.